GCGGACGUGGUGAAAUUGGUAGACACGCUAGAUUUAGGUUCUAGUAAGAUUUUCUUGUGAGAGUUCGAGUCUCUCCGUCCGCA
This 83-nucleotide transfer RNA is filed under the name Kappaphycus alvarezii. RNAcentral's name for it is "tRNA-Leu". It matches the Rfam family "tRNA". Rfam says of the family: Transfer RNA (tRNA) molecules are approximately 80 nucleotides in length. Their secondary structure includes four short double-helical elements and three loops (D, anti-codon, and T loops). The record is from RNAcentral. RNAcentral also lists the same sequence under 7 other names. Lineage: Eukaryota; Rhodophyta; Florideophyceae; Gigartinales; Solieriaceae.